RNAcentral lists this transfer RNA (71 nucleotides) under Bos taurus (domestic cattle). It matches the Rfam family "tRNA". Rfam says of the family: Transfer RNA (tRNA) molecules are approximately 80 nucleotides in length. The record is from Rfam by way of RNAcentral. RNAcentral also lists the same sequence under 2 other names. Lineage: Eukaryota; Metazoa; Chordata; Mammalia; Artiodactyla; Bovidae.
UCCCUGGUGGCUCAGUGAUAAAGAAUCUGCCUGCAAUGUAGGAGACCCAGGUUCGAUCCCUGGGUCGGGAU